UACGAAGGGGGCUAGCGUUGUUCGGAAUUACUGGGUGUAAAGCGCGCGCAGGCGGUCUUCCAAGUCAGUGGUGAAAGCCCGGAGCUCAACUCCGGAAUUGCCAUUGAAACUGUUGGACUUGAGUACGAGAGAGGUGAGUGGAAUUCCCAGUGUAGAGGUGAAAUUCGUAGAUAUUGGGAAGAACACCGGUGGCGAAGGCGGCUCACUGGCUCGUAACUGACGCUCAAGCGCGACAGCGUGGGGAUCAAACAGG
This 253-nucleotide ribosomal RNA is filed under the name uncultured bacterium. RNAcentral's name for it is "partial 16S ribosomal RNA". It matches the Rfam family "Bacterial small subunit ribosomal RNA", at positions 524 to 776 of the family's 1533-position model. The record is from RNAcentral.